Molecule: transfer RNA, 89 nt
Filed under: Planosporangium mesophilum
Lineage: Bacteria; Bacillati; Actinomycetota; Actinomycetes; Micromonosporales; Micromonosporaceae
Description: tRNA-Gly
Source: RNAcentral
CGGGCCGUAGGCGGCGGCUCCGGCGUGCAGCCGGCGCGCGUACCGGCGGCAGCGGUCGCAGGUGGCGUCUUCCAAUGGCGUGGGCUUGA